UGACCGCCAGCGUUCUUUUUACAUGACGCGNCGCGUCAUGUAAAAAGAACGCUGGCGGUCA
This 61-nucleotide microRNA precursor is filed under the name Operophtera brumata (winter moth). Its description in RNAcentral is "mir-130 microRNA precursor family". It matches the Rfam family "mir-130 microRNA precursor family". Rfam says of the family: The hairpin precursors (represented here) are predicted based on base pairing and cross-species conservation -- their extents are not known. In this case the mature sequence is excised from the 3' arm of the hairpin. Lineage: Eukaryota; Metazoa; Arthropoda; Insecta; Lepidoptera; Geometridae. The record is from Rfam by way of RNAcentral.